Molecule: long non-coding RNA, 236 nt
Filed under: Durio zibethinus
Lineage: Eukaryota; Viridiplantae; Streptophyta; Magnoliopsida; Malvales; Malvaceae
Description: long non-coding RNA (DZIB_LNC000163)
Source: RNAcentral
UUAUAUUUAAAUUUUGCUUAAAUGUUGUAGAAUUAUAAAAUAUUCCUUUAAUCUAAAGAUUUUCAUAAUAUUCCUAAAUAGAGAUUUUUAAUUGAUUUUAUUUCUUUAAAAUGAAAGGAAUUAUUAUUAAAUCUUAAAUAAGAACCCUUUUAAUCCAAAAUUAUAGAUAGUGCAUAAUUAAUUGGUACCAAUUUUUAUGGGCACCAUGGGAUUGCUAAUCUUUUCACAUAUAUAAC